GUGCCUGCUUAGCACGUAUACUAAAAAUGGAACAAUGAGAUUAGCGGGGCCCCUGCAUAGGGAUGACAGGCAAACUCGUGAAGUGUUUCAUUUAAAA
Vulpes vulpes (red fox) is the source of this 97-nucleotide small nuclear RNA. Lineage: Eukaryota; Metazoa; Chordata; Mammalia; Carnivora; Canidae. The record is from Ensembl.